GUCACAGCAUUGUGGACCGAGGGGCCUGUAUUGUGCUGUAUCUUUUGUGUGUUUCUAUGUUUCUAUUGUAACACUCACGUGACCGGCGGGUGUAUGUCUGGGGGAAAAUUCGUUCACCUGCCAAACCGCGCCUCCCAUAUACAUGGAUGCUGUGAAAUACUUGCUAAUACAAACUCGCACACACAAUAUCAAGAGCACACCAGGUACGUUUACAGAAUACACUUUAUAUAUCUUACUGGAACUAAGUGAUUAAUAACGAUACAUUAUAUAUGAAGGAAAAGAAAAUAAAGACACGGUGCCAAAACUUAUCAGAGUUCAGUCAAUUUAGUGCACAUCGUUGGAGCUCAACCAUCAAAUCCUCCGACCCCUCUUCACUCUCGUCCGACCUCCAUGACCCCCGCACCUGGGACCACCUUCAGUCAUCGACCAGCAGUGCUGCACCCAUCCACCUUCCUCGCCGUCUUCUUCCCGACUCCCCAAACAGACCACGCAAUCCCAGCUCCCAGACCCACAAGAGAAAUGACAUCCAACCCAAUUGGUUUACAAAUAAAUACAAUCCCCGUUAUCCGCAACUUUAACCCAAACAAACUUCGAGAAGCUUCGAGAGUGCUCUGCCAGAAAAGCACUCUCUCACCAGUUAGCAUAACAAAGAAGCAGUUUUACUUUUAACAAACAAAGAAGCCAUUUUGAUUAACAUACACAGUACACUAUUAUUGAUAUGUGAGUGUUGCCAGGAACAUGGAGCAAGGGGUGUGUACCUGUGGAAGGAUGCACUCAGGAGCACUCACUCAGUCAAGUAAUCUCCAUCCAACCAUCACAGAUGGAGCUUUCAACACCAACAGGAAUUGGUUAUAGCAAUGUGAAGAUUACUGGGAACAUGGAGCUAGGGGUUUGUGUAUCUGUGGAGGGAUACACUCAGGGAGCAUUCUCUCAGUCAAAUAAACUGAAUCCAAUCAUCACAGAUAGACCUUCAAAGACUGACAUGAAUUGAUUACGUGAGGUUUUCCGGGAACACGGAGCUAAACAGCAAACAAUCAGCUGGAAGACCUCAGUGGGCUGAGCAGAAUCUGCAGAGGGAGGCUCGGGGAAUGAAUUGUCCGAAGUUCCGGUCAAAUCCCAGCAUCAAAACCUGUCAACAAUUCCUUCCUUCCCACUGAGAUCCUGAUGCAAGCUUUCAACCCAAAAUGUCAACACCUCCUCUCCUCCUCCCACGGAUUCUGCUUGACCCAUCGAGUUCCCCGAGCAGACCGUCUGACCCUCCAGAUUCCAGAACCUGCAGUGUCUUGUGCCUCAAAUAUAGAGGCAAAACUGGAAUGUGAGUGGAGAGGGAGAUGAACUCUGCUUCCAUAGACCUGAUGGGCUGAAUGGACUCUCUGAAUUUUACUACAUUUCAGAAGCUGUUAGAGGAUGAGGGGAGUGAAAAGAGUUCAAACCAGCUCAGUUUCGUCCAGCCAAAUCACAUGCUAUGUUGGCACCAGAACAUCUGGUGACACAAGCUCAUCGUUAGAUUGUGUUGGAUACGAAAGCAAAUCACACAUUUCACUAACACAAGGGAUUCUGCAGAUGCAGGAAAUCCAGAGACUUUGGGCAAAAACCCUGAUGUGACCAUUAUAGUCCUGGCUGUUGGUGCGACUGUAACGAAACCCAAUUUCCCUCGGGAUCAACAAAGUAUGUCUGUCUGUCUGUCUGAUGGAGAGUCUCGGCCGGAAACGUUGACUGUUUACCCCUUUCCAUAGAUGCUGCCUGGCCUGCUGAGUUCCUCCAUCAUUCUGUGUGUUUUGACGCAUUCCACUGUACACGUUGAUGUACGUGUGAUAAAUAACUCCGAAUCUGAGCCGGAGAAGGUCAGUGAACAUCCAGGAACAUUAACGAAUGGACCGAGCCUUCACAGAGCCCUGCAGUGACUCCCUUUGCCAGCAUGUCACCUCCUGUUUCCAAACACUCCUCAAUGAGGGUGAGCUUCCAGCUAUGGCUUGUUCAUGGGCUGAGGACUGUCCUUAUAGGCAGGCUUGAUCAGAAUUAAACCAGACAAGGAGCAGGCACAGACUAAAGGGGAACGAGCUGUCUGGGAAGCUGAAAAUUUGUCGCCCAUCUAACAGAGCUUGCAGAAUGGGUGGGAUCUUGUUUAACCUUGUAAGGACACACACACAAAGUUAUUGAUGUCCUGCAGGUGUUUGCAGUUAACAGAGAACACAGAAUAUUUCUGCACAGUACAGGCCAUUCAGCCCACAAUAUUGUGACAGCCCUUUAACCUACUCUGAAAUCCAUCUGACCCUCCCCUCCUGUACCGUAUCAGAUUGAUUGUGAGAAGGUGGUGAAUACACAUCGAUCAGGCAGAGAAUUGCUUCAGCCUCAUACGUACUGGAGGCAUGCUCUUUCGGUGCAGGCCCGGCUCGUAACUGCCACACUGUAAUUGGCACAGUGUGCACUGAUACUAACAAGAAUCAGUAAACACCAGUAACCAUACCACUUCGUUAUAUUGUAAUUCUUGCUCUGUGCAUACGUAGCACCUCCCACAGAGCCCAACGUGUUUCUCUCACCCUUUCCGUCUACCUGAAUCUCUUAACUGUCCCUAAUGUGUCUGCCUCCACCAUCGCCCCUGGCAACACAGUCAAGGAUCAAUUUUAUUCCCCAUAUACACUUACAUGUAUUUGGAAUCUGCUGCUGGUCAGCAUGUGACAUGCAGCAAAACAACAUUCAACAAUUAUACAGAAUAAAGAAUUAUAUGAAUAAUAAAGGUAGAAGUUAAAGUAUGUCAAUGAAAUAAAUACACAAAUACCAGCAUGUACUUACAAUGUAAACAGCAUUAUAAAAAUUGGUUAAAGUAUUUAAAGUGCAAAGCAGUGAUUAUGGUAACAGAUAGAGGGGGGUGGGCUGUCUAACUAGAAAGGUUGUUCAGAUUAACUGCCUGGGGGAAGAGGUUUUGUAGAUGGCGUGGAGUGAUCCACUCAUUCACCACCCUCAGUGUAUGAAAAUCUAACUGUGACAUCCUCCCUAUACUUCCCUCCAAACACCUUAGACUGAUGCACCAUUGUAUUAGCCAUUUCCACCAUGGGGGAAAAAGUCUCUGGCUGUUCACUUUUUGUUUCUUAUCAUUUUGUUCACCUCUCGCAAGUCACUUUUUAUCCUCCUUUCUUCUAAAGAGAAAAGCCCUAGCUUGCUCAGCCUAUACAUUUAUGACAAGCUCUCUAAUCCAGGCAGUAUCCCAGUAAAUCUUCUCUGCACUCUAAAAUUUCCUUACCCUUCCUAUAAUGUAAAACUGAACACGAUAUCCUAAGUGUGAUCUACACAGAGUAUUCUAGAGGUGCACCGUCACCUCAUGGUAAACACAGAUCAGUGGUAAGUUGCAGAUUGAUUUAGUUAAACUAAUUAGAUACCACAAUAUUUACAUCACAGAGACAGGGUAUUUUCUCCCUCUGUCUGUGCUGGUGUUUAGUUUCUAUACAGAUCAUCUCCCAAUCAUCUUCUUCUCUCUCCAUCAACAGAUGGGCACCUCAGCAGCUCAGCCGGUAGAGAGACUGCCUGGUGGCUCAAUCACGACUUCCGUUGCUGUCCGUGUGCAGUUGGAACGUUCUCCCUGUGAAGAUGUGGAUUUCACUGGGUGCUCUGCUUUUCUCCCAUAUCCAAAAGAUGAGCCAUUUGAUGCUGGAAAUCUUGAAAAAACUGCUGGAGGAUCUCAAAGUUCAAAGUAAAUUAUUAUCAAGGUGGAACAGACAGAUUGCAAUGAAAAAUUUCUCAUUACUGAAUAUCCUGUGUUCCCUCAUGAAUGACAGAAGGCAAACAAGCAGAGUGAAGCCAGUGACAACUGUUUAUAACCAAUGGCAAUGAGAACACCAGCUCCAGGAGCAUUUUAAAAUGUAUCAUCUAACGCCACGUGUUCUCGCAACUGUCCAGCUGUCGCCAAGCCGGCUUUUCUGGGGUUUCUGGAGCCUGGUACCACGCUGUAAGUCAAAAUAAAAGUCAAAAAUAAAAAUACAUGGAGGUCAGGAGGAGUGAUGUUCUUUGGCAAAUCCUUCCCCAGUAUGAUUUGGCUCUGAAUGAACAUUGAAGAUUUGCUAAUUGUCCCUCCUCAUCCUUUCACUAAGGGGAUCAACUUGAUAAAUUAUCAGAUCAGAAUCAGGUUUAUUAUCACAGACAUACAGUAUGUUGUGAAAUGUGUUGUUUUGCCAUAGCAGUACAGUGCAAUACAUAAAAUACAUUUAA
Molecule: long non-coding RNA, 4203 nt
Organism: Hypanus sabinus (Atlantic stingray)
Lineage: Eukaryota; Metazoa; Chordata; Chondrichthyes; Myliobatiformes; Dasyatidae
Exons: 3
Source: RefSeq, a predicted model, not a curated record